GCGGCCCCUGGACAAGACUGACGCUCAGGUGCGAAGCGUGGGGAGCAAACAGGAUAGAUACCUGGUAGUCACGCUGUAAACGAUGUCGAUUUGGAGGUUGUUCCCUUGAGGAGUGGCUUCCGGAGCUAACGCGUUAAAUCGACCGCCUGGGGAGUACGGCCGCAAGGUUAAAACUCAAAUGAAUUGACGGGGGCCCGCACAAGCGGUGGAGCAUGUGGUUUAAUUCGAUGCAACGCGAAGAACCUUACCUACUCUUGACAUCCAGAGAAUUUAGCAGAGAUGCUUUAGUGCCUUCGGGAACUCUGAGACAGGUGCUGCAUGGCUGUCGUCAGCUCGUGUUGUGAAAUGUUGGGUUAAGUCCCGCAACGAGCGCAACCCUUAUCCUUUGUUGCCAGCACAUUAUGGUGGGAACUCAAAGGAGACUGCCGGUGAUAAACCGGAGGAAGGUGGGGAUGACGUCAAGUCAUCAUGGCCCUUACGAGUAGGGCUACACACGUGCUACAAUGGCGUAUACAAAGAGAAGCGACCUCGCGAGAGCAGGCGGAACUCAUAAAGUACGUCGUAGUCCGGAUUGGAGUCUGCAACUCGACUCCAUGAAGUCGGAAUCGCUAGUAAUCGUAGAUCAGAAUGCUACGGUGAAUACGUUCCCGGGCCUUGUACACACCGCCCGUCACACCAUGGGAGUGGGUUGCAAAAGAAGUAGGUAGCUUAACCUUCGGGAGGGCGCUUACCACUUUGUGAUUCAUGACUGGGGUGAAGUCGUAACAAGGUAACCA
This 776-nucleotide ribosomal RNA is filed under the name uncultured Providencia sp. Its description in RNAcentral is "bacterial SSU rRNA". It matches the Rfam family "Bacterial small subunit ribosomal RNA", at positions 721 to 1502 of the family's 1533-position model. Lineage: Bacteria; Pseudomonadati; Pseudomonadota; Gammaproteobacteria; Enterobacterales; Morganellaceae. The record is from RNAcentral.